CGCAAGCCUGACGGAGCAACACCGCGCGAGGGAUGAAGGCCUCUGGGCUGUAAACCUCUUUUAUCAAGGAAGAAGAACUGACGGUACUUGAUGAAUAAGCCACGGCUAAUUCCGUGCCAGCAGCCGCGGUAAUACGGGAGUGGCAAGCGUUAUCCGGAAUUAUUGGGCGUAAAGCGUCCGCAGGCGGUUUUACAAGUCUGUCGUUAAAGCGUGGAGCUCAACUCCAUUUCAGCGAUGGAAACUGUAAGACUCGAGUGUGGUAGGGGCAGAGGGAAUUCCCGGUGUAGCGGUGAAAUGCGUAGAUAUCGGGAAGAACACCAGUGGCGAAAGCGCUCUGCUGGGCCAUAACUGACGCUCAUGGACGAAAGCCAGGGGAGCGAAAG
RNAcentral lists this ribosomal RNA (383 nucleotides) under uncultured bacterium. Its description in RNAcentral is "bacterial SSU rRNA". It matches the Rfam family "Bacterial small subunit ribosomal RNA", at positions 376 to 774 of the family's 1533-position model. The record is from RNAcentral.